GGCUGGUCUGAAGGUAGUGAGUUAUCUCAAUUGAUGGUUCACAGUUAGUUACAGAUCAAACUCCUUGUUCUACUCUUUCCCCCUUCUCACUACUGCAGUUGACUAGUCUUUA
This 112-nucleotide Y RNA is filed under the name Prolemur simus (greater bamboo lemur). RNAcentral's name for it is "Y RNA (ENSPSMG00000002818.1)". It matches the Rfam family "Y RNA". Rfam says of the family: Y RNAs are components of the Ro ribonucleoprotein particle (Ro RNP), in association with Ro60 and La proteins. The Y RNAs and Ro60 and La proteins are well conserved, but the function of the Ro RNP is not known. The record is from Rfam by way of RNAcentral. Lineage: Eukaryota; Metazoa; Chordata; Mammalia; Primates; Lemuridae.